GGACAGGGAGUGACGACACACAGAGCAACUCCAGCACGAAAACAAAACCCUGCAUUAAAAAACAACUGUGAACAGCGACGGUGUGCAUUGCUCUUCACGGAACUCUCUGUUCUUCAUAAUUUUAAUAUGACAGCCAGACCUAUACCGUGGGUGAAUGAAGUGGUCGAGACUUUUCUGUCUAUGGUGGCGGACCAAAGAAUACAGAGGGAGCUAGACGGAGAAAGUUUAUCAGGAGGUCUCUGAGUGGAUGGCCGCUCACAUAUACAGUAGACUAUAUAAAGAGGACAAUGAAGCAGCGUAGGGAGAAGCUGAAAAAGCUCAAAAGUGACUAUCGGUCUACCAAGGACCACAACGGCCGGCGUGGGCCAACCAGAAGGUGUUGGAAGAGGUUUAAUGACCGCUAUUUACUGGCACCGCCAGCAGCAGGAGGGAGACACAGCCGCUGCAUUGUUGGAGACGUUCGAGGACGAAUCCCUUUCCACAUGCGAAGCCUACUCCACCUCCGUCAUGGAGCUCCCAGCUCCCCUGCCUCCUCUCCACCACCAGCAGCGGCUCCUCUCCAGCACCAGCUUCGACACCAGUACCAGCUCGGACACCGACCCUGUCAACAUCAGCCUCCAGCACGUCACAGCAACGUCUUAUCACUGUGGAGGAGGUACUGCUUGUGCUUUUGUUAAAGCGAAGAGUACCAGAAGUUUAUUAAAGUAUCAAAGACAUGAUCAUGAUUGAAAAUGGAUGGACGGGUGGCUAAACACAUCACAUCAUAGCUGUGGAGUCUUUCAAGCU
Long non-coding RNA from Amphiprion ocellaris (clown anemonefish), 786 nucleotides. The record is from Ensembl. NCBI's taxonomy places the organism in Eukaryota, Metazoa, Chordata, Actinopteri, Pomacentridae.